This 380-nucleotide unclassified non-coding RNA is filed under the name uncultured Rickettsiales bacterium. RNAcentral describes it as "contains 16S-23S intergenic spacer region". Lineage: Bacteria; Pseudomonadati; Pseudomonadota; Alphaproteobacteria; Rickettsiales. The record is from RNAcentral.
UCCGGCUUAUCACCGGCAGUUUCCUUAGAGUUCCCAGCAUAACCUGUUGGCAACUAAGGAUGAGGGUUGCGCUCGUUGCGGGACUUAACCCAACAUCUCACGACACGAGCUGACGACAGCCAUGCAGCACCUGUGUGGUAGCCAGCCAAACUGAAGGAUAACUUUUCUGCUAUCCAUACUACCCAUGUCAAGGCCUGGUAAGGUUCUUCGCGUUGCCUCGAAUUAAACCACAUGCUCCACCGCUUGUGCGGGUCCCCGUCAAUUCCUUUGAGUUUUAAUCUUGCGACCGUACUCCCCAGGCGGAGUGCUUAAUGCGUUAGCGUCGCCACUGAGCCCUACGGACCCAACGGCUAGCACUCAUCGUUUACGGCGUGGACUAC